CCCUAGUACGAGAGGACCGGGAUGGACAGACCGCUGGUGUACCAGUUGUCUCGCCAGAGGCACAGCUGGGUAGCUAUGUCUGGGACGGAUAAGCGCUGAAAGCAUCUAAGCGCGAAGCCAACCUCAAGAUGAGUUCUCCCACCUGGCACUGAGUGCCAGGGUAAGAUCCCAUCAAGACUAGGUGGUUGAUAGGCCAGAAGUGUAAGUGCAGCAAUGCAUUAAGCGGACUGGUACUAAUAGAUCGAGGGCUUGACCUUAAAA
Molecule: ribosomal RNA, 261 nt
Filed under: Syntrophomonadaceae bacterium
Lineage: Bacteria; Bacillati; Bacillota; Clostridia; Eubacteriales; Syntrophomonadaceae
Description: partial 23S ribosomal RNA
Rfam family: Bacterial large subunit ribosomal RNA
Source: RNAcentral